AAGACCUUGCACUUUUGGAGCGGCCGAUGUCUGAUUAGCUAGUUGGUGGGGUAAUGGCCUACCAAAGCGUCGAUCAGUAGCUGGUCUGAGAGGACGGCCAGCCACACUGGGACUGAGACACGGCCCAGACUCCUACGGGAGGCAGCAGUGGGGAAUUUUGGACAAUGGGCGCAAGCCUGAUCCAGCCAUGCCGCGUGAGUGAAGAAGGCCUUCGGGUUGUAAAGCUCUUUCAGCCGGGAAGAAAAGGUUGCGAUUAAUAAUCGCAAUUUAUGGCGGUACCGGAAGAAGAAGCACCGGCUAACUACGUGCCAGCAGCCGCGGUAAUACGUAGGGUGCGAGCGUUAAUCGGAAUUACUGGGCGUAAAGGGUGCGCAGGCGGUUUUGUAAGUCAGAUGUGAAAUCCCCGGGCUUAACCUGGGAACU
RNAcentral lists this ribosomal RNA (423 nucleotides) under uncultured bacterium. Its description in RNAcentral is "bacterial SSU rRNA". It matches the Rfam family "Bacterial small subunit ribosomal RNA", at positions 207 to 622 of the family's 1533-position model. The record is from RNAcentral.